This 119-nucleotide ribosomal RNA is filed under the name Pteropus alecto (black flying fox). Lineage: Eukaryota; Metazoa; Chordata; Mammalia; Chiroptera; Pteropodidae. The record is from RNAcentral.
GUCUACAGCCAUGCCACCCUGAAAGAGCCUGAUCUCAUCUAAUCUUGGAAGCUAAGCAGGGUCGGGCCUGGUUAGUACUCGAAUGGGAGACCACCUAGGAAGACCAGGUGCUGUAGGCC